GACAUAGGUGGCGAACGUUAUCCGGAAUUACUGGGCGUAAAGGGCGCGUAGGCGGCCACCGCAAGUCAAUUGUGAAAUCUCCGGGCUUAACUCGGAAAGGUCAACUGAUACUGCGGGGCUAGAGUGCGGAAGGGGCAACUGGAAUUCUCGGUGUAGCGGUGAAAUGCGUAGAUAUCGAGAGGAACACCUGCGGCGAAGGCGGGUUGCUGGGCCGACACUGACGCUGAUGCGCGAAAGCCAGGGGAGCGAACGGG
Molecule: ribosomal RNA, 254 nt
Filed under: uncultured bacterium
Lineage: Bacteria
Description: partial 16S ribosomal RNA
Rfam family: Bacterial small subunit ribosomal RNA
Source: RNAcentral